This 85-nucleotide transfer RNA is filed under the name Candidatus Nitrosopumilus limneticus. RNAcentral's name for it is "tRNA-Ser". It matches the Rfam family "tRNA". From Rfam's summary of the family: Transfer RNA (tRNA) molecules are approximately 80 nucleotides in length. The record is from RNAcentral. Lineage: Archaea; Thermoproteati; Nitrososphaerota; Nitrososphaeria; Nitrosopumilales; Nitrosopumilaceae.
GGAAAGAUGGCCGAGUGGUUUAAGGCAACAGUCUUGAAAACUGUCGAGGUGAAAGCCUCCGUGAGUUCGAAUCUCACUCUUUCCG